RNAcentral lists this ribosomal RNA (253 nucleotides) under uncultured bacterium. RNAcentral describes it as "partial 16S ribosomal RNA". It matches the Rfam family "Bacterial small subunit ribosomal RNA", at positions 524 to 776 of the family's 1533-position model. The record is from RNAcentral.
UACAGAGGUCUCGAGCGUUAGGCGGAAUUAUUGGGCGUAAAGAGCGUGUAGGCGGCCAGGUAGGUCGGUUGUGAAAACUGGAGGCUUAACCUCCAGCGGUCGAUGGAAACCAUCUGGCUAGAGUCCGGAAGAGGAGAGUGGAAUUCCUGGUGUAGCGGUGAAAUGCGCAGAUAUCAGGAAGAACACCCGUGGCGAAGGCGGCUCUCUGGGACGGUACUGACGCUGAGACGCGAAAGCGUGGGGAGCGAACAGG